GUGCUUGCUUCGGCAGCACAUACACUAAAAUUGGAACAAUACAGAGAUUAGCAUGGCCGCUGCACUAGGAUGACACACAAAUUUGUAAAACACUCCAUUAAAAA
Molecule: small nuclear RNA, 104 nt
Organism: Pongo abelii (Sumatran orangutan)
Lineage: Eukaryota; Metazoa; Chordata; Mammalia; Primates; Hominidae
Source: Ensembl